RNAcentral lists this ribosomal RNA (253 nucleotides) under uncultured bacterium. RNAcentral's name for it is "partial 16S ribosomal RNA". It matches the Rfam family "Bacterial small subunit ribosomal RNA", at positions 524 to 776 of the family's 1533-position model. The record is from RNAcentral.
UACGUAGGGGGCAAGCGUUGUCCGGAAUUAUUGGGCGUAAAGAGCGCGUAGGCGGUCCGAUAAGUCGGCUGUGAAAGUCAGGGGCUCAACCCUUGAAAGCCGGCCGAUACUGUCGGACUAGAGUCCGGAAGAGGCAAGUGGAAUUCCCGGUGUAGCGGUGAAAUGCGCAGAUAUCAGGAGGAACACCGGUGGCGAAGGCGGGUCUCUGGGCCGAUACUGACGCUGAGGAGCGAAAGCAUGGGUAGCGAACAGG